RNAcentral lists this transfer RNA (82 nucleotides) under Limulus polyphemus (Atlantic horseshoe crab). RNAcentral describes it as "tRNA-Ser". It matches the Rfam family "tRNA". From Rfam's summary of the family: Transfer RNA (tRNA) molecules are approximately 80 nucleotides in length. Their secondary structure includes four short double-helical elements and three loops (D, anti-codon, and T loops). Lineage: Eukaryota; Metazoa; Arthropoda; Merostomata; Xiphosura; Limulidae. The record is from RNAcentral.
GACGAGGUGGCCUAGUGGUUAAUGCGAUAGACUGCUAAUCCAGUGGGUUAUGCACGCGUGGGUUCGAAUCCCAUCCUCGUCG